Symphalangus syndactylus (siamang) is the source of this 2723-nucleotide long non-coding RNA. RefSeq lists it as uncharacterized. The record is from RefSeq and is a predicted model, not a curated record. Lineage: Eukaryota; Metazoa; Chordata; Mammalia; Primates; Hylobatidae.
UUUUCUUUUUUCUUUUUCUUUUCGAUACUAAGUCUCACUCUGUCGCCAGGCUGGAGUGCAGUGGCGCGAUCUCGGCUCACUGCAACCUCCGCCUCCCGGGUUCAAGGGAUUCUCCUGCCUCAGCCUCCCGAGUAGCUGGGACUACAGGCGUGUGCCACCACGCCCAGAUAAUUUUUGUAUUUUUAGUAGAGAUGGGGUUUCACCAUGUUGGCCAGAAUGGUCUCGAUUUCCUGACCUCAAGUGAUCCGCCCGACUCGGCCUCCCAGAGUGCUGGAAUUACAGGCGUGGACUGGCCAUCCUCUUUGAUUGCUAUCUCCAUGCGUUCCGGUCAAGGCACGGGAUGGGGUCUCCAGUUCAGUUGAAAUUUCCAAAAAUCACGGCCUGGAAAAAAUCAGACGCUGAUUUCCAGAGAUUCCCCAGAGCUGCCGCGAGGGGGCGCCCGGCGCUGCCAAACCCGGAGGGCCGCGCGCGCGAACCGUGUCCGAUCCGCACGGCGGCGUCCUGGGGCGUCCACUGUGAGGACGGAGCUUCCUCUCCUCAGGACCCACCCGGGAGGGGCCGGGGCUUGGGACAGCUGGGGCCGCGUCCGCUGUGAGGACAGGGAGACGCUGCUGCAGCUCCGGGACACCUGGGGCCGCCGAGGCGAAGGUUGGAGUGCAAUGGCGCGAUCUCGGCUCACUGCAGUCUCCGCCUCCCGGGUUCAAGCGAUUCUCCCGCCUCAGCCUCCCGAGUAGCUGGGAUUACAGGCAUGCGCCAGCACGCCCGGCUAAUUUUGUAUUUUUAGUAGAGACGGGGUUUCUCCAUGUUGGUCAGGCUGGUCUCGAACUCCCAACCUCAUCAGGUGAUCCACCCACCUCGGCCUCCCAAAGUGCUGGGAUUACAGGCGUGAGCCACCGCGCCUGGUCAGUGCGCCGUGUUUUCAGGCUCAUUUGUUAACAUAGUGGAAACAACACAGGAAAAUGGAAAAGUAGGCACAUUAUCAUGCGCACCCCACUGCACUCAAGCCCUGGGCAACAGAGCGAGACCUUGUCUCAAAAAACAAAAACAAAUGAAAACAAAACCAAAAAAACCAUUGUGUGCGUCUAAUGGAAGUGAACUCAUCAACAACAGUUUUUCUUUUGUUGAGAAAGUCUGUUUAAUUUGCAGUGUAUUUGUAAUGGUACGUAAAAUGACGUCUGUUUUAUAAACAUUCUCAUCCUAAGUUAGUUGAAAUGUAUUAACUAUAUCAAGCUUUGACAUGAUACCAUAAAAUUAAUUGAAGAAAGUCACUACUCUUUUUUCCCUUGGCCUUGACCAUUUUAAAUAAAAUCAGAUUUCGUUAAGGUUACUUAAUACUGAGCUGUAAACCUGUAUGGCCCUGCAGUGUCUUUUCUUAUCUUUUUUUUUUCUUGUUUUUUUUUUUUUUUUUUUUUUUUUGAGAUGGAGUCUAGCUCUGUCUCCCAGGCUGGAGUGCAGUGGCGUGAUCUCAGCUCACUGUAACCUCCACCUCCCAGGUUGAAGCAAUUCUCUGUCUCAGCCUCCCCAAGAGCUGGGAUUACAGGCGCCUGCCACAACGCCCAGCUAAUUUUUUUGUAUUUUUAGUAGAGAUGGGGUUUCACCAUCUUGGCCAGGCUGGUCUUGAACUUCUGACCACGUGAUCCACCUGCCUUGGCCUCCCAAAGUGUUGGGAUUACACGUGUGAGCCACUGAGCCCAGCCUCUUUUUUUGACAUGGAGUCUCACUUUGUUGCCUAGGCUGGACUGCAGUGGCGCGAUCUCAGCUCACUGCAACCUCCGCCUCCCGGGUUCAAGCACUUCUCCUGCAUCAGCCUCCUGAGUCUCUGGGAUUACAGGCCUGCAUCACCACGCUGGGCUAAUUUUGUAUUUUUAAUAGAGGUGGGGUUUCACCAUGUUGGCCAGGCUGGUCUCGAACUCCUGACCUCAAGUGAUCCACCCGCCUUGGCCUCCCAAAGUGCUGGGAUUGCAGGUAGUCCUGAGCCACCACGCCUGGCUGCUUUUUUUUUUUUUUCAAUUAAAAAAAUUUUUUUUUGUUUGUUUUUUGAGAUGGAGUUUAGCUCCUGUUGCCCAGGCUGAAGUCCAAUGUCCCGAUCUUGGCUCACUGCAACCUCUGCCUCCUGGUGAAAUGCCUAACCUUGUUUUUACUUCAACUUGUUACUUUGAAUUUUGUCCUGUUUGUCUCUUUAAAUUACCUAGCCUUGCUUCUCAUGUAAAUGAGACUCUCUCUAGCUAGGAAAGCCGACAAACUCCAACUGACCCCUUAAUUUACAAGACACUAGGGAUCCUCACUCAAACCCCUUUCCUGAGGAGUUGUCCUGGGUAAACAGGUCCUCAGCAUUUCAAAGGAGCCCAGUUAACUGAUAAGUUACCAACACCAACAAUGUACGAAGUUCCCAGGAAUUUUCUCCAAGAGAUAACAACAUACAACCUUGAGUUUGUGUCUGGCAUAGACCCUAUAUCUAAUUAUAAUGAAAGAUUUAGAAGCUUGCACCUCUUACCGUUGCUCUUCUUGUAACCAUUUGCCUUUUAAGUUGUUUAUCACUCUGUAACCAUUUUGAUUCUUUUGAUUUUUGCAUGUUUUUACUUCUGUAGAAUUAUUACAUUUGAGUCCCCCUCCCCUUCCUAAACCUAGGUAUAAAAGUUAAUCGAGCCCCUUCCUCGUGGCCAAGAGAAUUUUGAGCAUUAGCCGUCUCUUUGGCUGCCAGCUUAAUAAAGGACUCUUAAUUC